This is a long non-coding RNA of Spea bombifrons (plains spadefoot toad), 320 nucleotides long. RefSeq lists it as uncharacterized. The record is from RefSeq and is a predicted model, not a curated record. NCBI's taxonomy places the organism in Eukaryota, Metazoa, Chordata, Amphibia, Anura, Pelobatidae. The transcript has 3 exons.
AAAUUAUAUAAGCAUGUCAAAAAUAUUGUGCUAUGUUAAUACAUGUAAUGUUGUUUUUAUUCUCAAGGAUCGUCCAGGGAUGUUACAUGUUUAAAAUGCAAACGGGAGAGAAGGGAACAUCUUACGAGGGAGGUGCGUGAUUUAGUUUCAAAGCAUGGUUGUCUUGAAGUGGCUGGCAAAGAGCUUCUAGGAUGGUAUAUGAUGCUUUCUGAAGACGACAGAAAAAUAAUUAAAGAAUCAGGGCACCUGACAGAGUUCCUACAGGACGAUACUACUUUGCUGGUAGACAACAACUGGGUGAUGCUAAAGGGUAAGUAAAA